This 71-nucleotide transfer RNA is filed under the name Planctomycetota bacterium. Its description in RNAcentral is "tRNA-Gly". It matches the Rfam family "tRNA", at positions 15 to 71 of the family's 71-position model. Rfam says of the family: Transfer RNA (tRNA) molecules are approximately 80 nucleotides in length. Their secondary structure includes four short double-helical elements and three loops (D, anti-codon, and T loops). The record is from RNAcentral. Lineage: Bacteria; Pseudomonadati; Planctomycetota.
GCGGGAUGGCGCCGCGGAGCGUCCGCUUCCCAAGCGGAAUGUCGAGGGUUCAAGUCCCUUCGCCCGCUCCA